CAAAGGAAUUGACGGGGCCCGCACAAGCGGUGGAGCAUGUGGUUUAAAUUCGAAGCAACGCGAAGGAACCUUACCAGGUCUUGACAUCCCGAUGCUAUUCUAGAGAUAGAAAGUUACUUCGGUACAUCGGUGACAGGUGGUGCAUGGUUGUCGUCAGCUCGUGUCGUGAGAUGUUGGGUUAAGUCCCGCAACGAGCGCAACCCCUAUUGUUAGUUGCCAUCAUUCAGUUGGGCACUCUAGCGAGACUGCCGGUAAUAAACCGGAGGAAGGUGGGGAUGACGUCAAAUCAUCAUGCCCCUUAUGACCUGGGCUACACACGUGCUACAAUGGUUGGUACAACGAGUUGCGAGUCGGUGACGGCGAGCUAAUCUCUUAAAGCCAAUCUCAGUUCGGAUUGUAGGCUGCAACUCGCCUACAUGAAGUCGGAAUCGCUAGUAAUCGCGGAUCAGCACGCCGCGGUGAAUACGUUCCCGGGCCUU
This 479-nucleotide ribosomal RNA is filed under the name uncultured Streptococcus sp. RNAcentral's name for it is "bacterial SSU rRNA". It matches the Rfam family "Bacterial small subunit ribosomal RNA", at positions 902 to 1382 of the family's 1533-position model. The record is from RNAcentral. Lineage: Bacteria; Bacillati; Bacillota; Bacilli; Lactobacillales; Streptococcaceae.